Molecule: long non-coding RNA, 222 nt
Filed under: Pan troglodytes (chimpanzee)
Lineage: Eukaryota; Metazoa; Chordata; Mammalia; Primates; Hominidae
Description: long non-coding RNA NONPTRT001707
Source: RNAcentral
GAACACGGAGAUACGAAACAGCUCAGUCCUGCAUUGGCCUCCUUUCCUUGCCAGCUGAUAUGGUCACCUGAGGUCAGGAGUUCGAGACUAGCCUGGCCAACAUGGUGAAACCCCGUCUCUACUAAAAAUACAAAAAUUAGCCGGGCACAGUGGCACAUGCCUGUAAUCCCAUCUACUUGGGAGGCUAAGGCAGGAGAAUCUCUUGAACCCGGGAGGCGGAGG